This 773-nucleotide ribosomal RNA is filed under the name uncultured Neocallimastigales. RNAcentral's name for it is "partial large subunit ribosomal RNA". It matches the Rfam family "Eukaryotic large subunit ribosomal RNA", at positions 22 to 621 of the family's 3401-position model. Lineage: Eukaryota; Fungi; Neocallimastigomycota; Neocallimastigomycetes; Neocallimastigales. The record is from RNAcentral.
UAUCAGUCAUGCAUAGCAUAUCAAUAAGCGGAGGAAAAGAAACUAACAAGGAUUCCCUUAGUAACGGCGAGUGAAGCGGGAAGAGCUCAAAUUUGAAAUCUUCAAGGUUUUACCUUGACGAAUUGUAGUUUAAAGAAGUGUUUUCUGUUGAAGUUUUGGUAAAAGUUCUUUGGAAUAGGACAUCAUAGAGGGUGAGAAUCCCGUAUUUGACCAUUACUUUCAGCUUUGUGAUACACUUUCAAAGAGUCGGAUUGUUUGGGAAUGCAGUCCAAAAUGGGUGGUAAAUUUCAUCUAAAGCUAAAUAUUGGCGAGAGACCGAUAGCGGACAAGUACCGUGAGGGAAAGAUGAAAAGAACUUUGAAAAGAGAGUUAAACAGUACGUGAAAUUGUCAAAAGGGAAGCGUUUGACACCAGUGUUGUUUUCUCGAAAAUCAAUUAAAAAGAGUUGGAUUUUGUGUUGUAUUGACUUUAUCAGCUUUCUUCACUCUUUUCCAGCUUUUUUUAAUGCACUUUUCGUUUAACAAGUCAACAUCAGUUUCUUUUGUUGUAAAAAGGUCAUUGGAAGGUGGCUUUCUCUUCGGAGAAAGUGUUUAUAGCCUUUGACUCAUGCAAUCGGAGAGACUGAGGUCUGCAGCGUAGAUCCUUCGGGGUUAGAUACAUUUGUGCUAAGUUAUAGCUUUUCAUAGACAACUUGUUGACUAUGUUUAGUCUUGUAGCUUACUCGCUUAUGCUAUUUUACCUACGCUUAGGAUGUUGAACUCUAUCACACACAG